This 492-nucleotide ribosomal RNA is filed under the name uncultured bacterium. RNAcentral's name for it is "bacterial SSU rRNA". It matches the Rfam family "Bacterial small subunit ribosomal RNA", at positions 19 to 518 of the family's 1533-position model. The record is from RNAcentral.
CUGGCUCAGGACGAACGCUAGCGGCGUGCCUAAGAAAUGCAAGUCGAGCGAAGAUCAGGAGCUUGCUCCGAAGUCUUAGCGGCGAACGGUCGCGUAACACGUAAGCAACCUGCCCUGAAGUGGGGGAUAGCCCUCCGAAAGGAGGAUUAAUACCGCAUGUGGAUACUUUCUUGCAUAUGAGAGUAUCUAAAGCAGCAAUGCGCUUCAGGAUGGGCUUGCGGCCUAUCAGCUAGUUGGUGUGGGUAACGGCCCCACCAAGGCGACGACGGGUAGCUGGUCUGAGAGGAUGGUCAGCCGGACUGGGACUGAGAUACGGCCCAGACUCCUACGGGGGGCAGCAAUUAGGAAUCUUGCGCAAUGGGCGAAAAAGCCUGACGCAGCGACGUCGCGUGACCGAUGAAGUCUUUCGGGAUGUAAAGGUCUUUUCUGGGGGAAGAAGGAUGUGACGGUACCCCAGGAAUAAGCCCCGGCUAACUACGUGCCAGCCGCAGC